ACUUAUACCUUGCAGGGGAAAUACCAUGUCAUAAAAAUGGUCUUCCUAGAGAGAGGCUCACCCAUUGCACUUUGGGCAUGCUGCUAAUCCUUGUGAUUUCCCCAAAUGUGGGGAAUUCAACUGCAUAAUUUGUGUUAAUGGAAAAUUACACUUGUGGUAAACUCUAG
Molecule: small nuclear RNA, 167 nt
Filed under: Pogona vitticeps (central bearded dragon)
Lineage: Eukaryota; Metazoa; Chordata; Lepidosauria; Squamata; Agamidae
Description: U1 spliceosomal RNA (ENSPVIG00000002284.1)
Rfam family: U1 spliceosomal RNA
About the family: U1 is a small nuclear RNA (snRNA) component of the spliceosome (involved in pre-mRNA splicing). Its 5' end forms complementary base pairs with the 5' splice junction, thus defining the 5' donor site of an intron.
Source: Rfam by way of RNAcentral